GACGUAGGGCGCGAGCGUUGUCCGGAUUUAUUGGGCGUAAAGAGCUCGUAGGCGGCUUGUCGCGUCGUUCGUGAAAACCUGCAGCUCAACUGCAGGCUUGCGGUCGAUACGGGCAGGCUAGAGUUCGGUAGGGGAGACUGGAAUUCCUGGUGUAGCGGUGAAAUGCGCAGAUAUCAGGAGGAACACCUAUGGCGAAGGCAGCUCGCUGGGCCACUACUGACACUGAGAAGCGAAAGCAUGGGGAGCGAACAGG
This 253-nucleotide ribosomal RNA is filed under the name uncultured bacterium. RNAcentral describes it as "partial 16S ribosomal RNA". It matches the Rfam family "Bacterial small subunit ribosomal RNA", at positions 524 to 776 of the family's 1533-position model. The record is from RNAcentral.